GAUGAACGCUGGCGGCGUGCCUAAUACAUGCGAGUCGAGCGAACGGACGAGAAGCUUGCUUCUCUGAUGUUAGCGGCGGACGGGUGAGUAACACGUGGAUAACCUACCUAUAAGACUGGGGUAACUUCGGGAAACCGGAGCUAAUACCGGAUGAUAUUUUGAACCGCAUGGUUCAAAAGUGAAAGACGGUCUUGCUGUCACUUAUAGAUGGAUCCGCGCUGCAUUAGCUAGUUGGUAAGGUAACGGCUUACCAAGGCAACGAUGCAUAGCCGACCUGAGAGGGUGAUCGGCCACACUGGAACUGAGACACGGUCCAGACUCCUACGGGAGGCAGCAGUAGGGAAUCUUCCGCAAUGGGCGAAAGCCUGACGGAGCAACGCCGCGUGAGUGAUGAAGGUCUUCGGAUCGUAAAACUCUGUUAUUAGGGAAGAACAUAUGUGUAAGUAACUGUGCACAUCUUGACGGUACCUAAUCAGAAAGCCACGGCUAACUACGUG
This 497-nucleotide ribosomal RNA is filed under the name uncultured bacterium. RNAcentral's name for it is "partial 16S ribosomal RNA". It matches the Rfam family "Bacterial small subunit ribosomal RNA", at positions 28 to 507 of the family's 1533-position model. The record is from RNAcentral.